Molecule: ribosomal RNA, 1081 nt
Filed under: Clostridium botulinum
Lineage: Bacteria; Bacillati; Bacillota; Clostridia; Eubacteriales; Clostridiaceae
Description: bacterial SSU rRNA
Rfam family: Bacterial small subunit ribosomal RNA
Source: RNAcentral
AGUGGAUUAGCGGCGGACGGGUGAGUAACACGUGGGUAACCUGCCUCAAAGUGGGGGAUAGCCUUCCGAAAGGAAGAUUAAUACCGCAUAACAUAAGAGAAUCGCAUGAUUUUUUUAUCAAAGAUUUAUUGCUUUGAGAUGGACCCGCGGCGCAUUAGCUAGUUGGUAAGGUAACGGCUUACCAAGGCAACGAUGCGUAGCCGACCUGAGAGGGUGAUCGGCCACAUUGGAACUGAGACACGGUCCAGACUCCUACGGGAGGCAGCAGUGGGGAAUAUUGCGCAAUGGGGGAAACCCUGACGCAGCAACGCCGCGUGGGUGAUGAAGGUCUUCGGAUUGUAAAGCCCUGUUUUCUAGGACGAUAAUGACGGUACUAGAGGAGGAAGCCACGGCUAACUACGUGCCAGCAGCCGCGGUAAUACGUAGGUGGCGAGCGUUGUCCGGAUUUACUGGGCGUAAAGGGUGCGUAGGCGGAUGUUUAAGUGGGAUGUGAAAUCCCCGGGCUUAACCUGGGGGCUGCAUUCCAAACUGGAUAUCUAGAGUGCAGGAGAGGAAAGCGGAAUUCCUAGUGUAGCGGUGAAAUGCGUAGAGAUUAGGAAGAACACCAGUGGCGAAGGCGGCUUUCUGGACUGUAACUGACGCUGAGGCACGAAAGCGUGGGUAGCAAACAGGAUUAGAUACCCUGGUAGUCCACGCCGUAAACGAUGGAUACUAGGUGUAGGGGGUAUCAACUCCCCCUGUGCCGCAGUUAACACAAUAAGUAUCCCGCCUGGGGAGUACGGUCGCAAGAUUAAAACUCAAAGGAAUUGACGGGGGCCCGCACAAGCAGCGGAGCAUGUGGUUUAAUUCGAAGCAACGCGAAGAACCUUACCUGGACUUGACAUCCCUUGCAUAGCCUAGAGAUAGGUGAAGCCCUUCGGGGCAAGGAGACAGGUGGUGCAUGGUUGUCGUCAGCUCGUGUCGUGAGAUGUUAGGUUAAGUCCUGCAACGAGCGCAACCCUUGUUAUUAGUUGCUACCAUUAAGUUGAGCACUCUAAUGAGACUGCCUGGGUAACCAGGAGGAAGGUGGGGAUGACGUCAA